GAUGAACGCUGACAGAAUGCUUAACACAUGCAAGUCCACUUGAAUUUGGGUUUUUAACUUAGGUUUGGGUGGCGGACGGGUGAGUAACGCGUAAAGAACUUGCCUCACAGCUAGGGACAACAUUUGGAAACGAAUGCUAAUACCUAAUAUUAUGAUAAUAGGGCAUCCUAUAAUUAUGAAAGCUAUAAGCGCUGUGAGAGAGCUUUGCGUCCCAUUAGCUAGUUGGAGAGGUAACGGAUCACCAAGGCGAUGAUGGGUAGCCGGCCUGGGAGGGUGAUCGGCCACAAGGGGCUGGAGACACGGCCCUUACGCCUACGGGAGGCAGCAGUGGGGAAUAUUGGACAAUGGACCGAGAGUCUGAUGCAGCAAUUCUGUGUGCACGAUGAAGUUUUUCGGAAUGUAAAGUGCUUUCAGUUGGGAAGAAACAAAUGACGGUACCAACAGAAGAAGUGACGGCUAAAUACGUG
RNAcentral lists this ribosomal RNA (467 nucleotides) under uncultured bacterium. RNAcentral describes it as "partial 16S ribosomal RNA". It matches the Rfam family "Bacterial small subunit ribosomal RNA", at positions 28 to 507 of the family's 1533-position model. The record is from RNAcentral.